GUCUUUUGCAUAUACUUUUUCCAGUCAGUGGCUUUUCUUUUCUCUCUCUUGAUCCACACAAUUUUUUUAAAGGAUUGUAUCGUUUUAUACUGAAAGGCAUAGAGACAGUACAAAAUGAAAAGAUGCCUUUGACCCCAAACUUCUGCAUAUGGGAAGCAUGCUAAGAACAUGGCUAUUUUUUAUGAAAAAAAAAUAAUUUAGAGGGUAGAACCAAUAGCCCAGAGUGGAGAGCCAAGAGUCACAGUGAAUCAUUCUUAAACAGUACAACUGAGCCCUAAUCAAGUACCAGUACCUUUUGCCCAGCUUGAUUUCAAGCUUUUAAUGGACCAAUGACUUCUGUGUCUCUCCUUUCCUCCUUUUUUUUGGGAGUGUCUAUAGCAGUUAUCCUGUACUUGCUCCACCAUUGUGCAUUUGGUGUUUGUUAAGGCAGAUAAUUUUUCUUUUUUAGUUUAUAGCUCUUGAGAUUACAAGGAACUGUACGUAAGGGGCUGUAUUUGAGGAACUGUACCCAAGAAGUUCAUCCAUACCUGGACCUCAAGCCUCAGCCUGAUGUUGUAGGUCUUGAGGGAGUGCAUGAGUGUAUUUUGCUGCUGUGGCUAGAGGGUGGACUGUGGUAUUUUGCAUUUUCCAAAACUGACCUCAGCAAUAUUUGUGGUCCCACAUGCUCUUCUAAACUUUGUCACUUCCCAACAAGAGUUAGAGUUUAUUUCCCCUCCCCCUGAACCUGGGCUGUACUUUGCACUGUUGAAUAGAAUGUGGUGGGAGUGAAACUAUGGGACUUCCAAGGUGAGGUCAUAAAAGAUAGUACUGCUUCUGCCUAGCUCACUCAAGAACCCAGCCCCCAUAGUGUGAGGAGGCCUAGGACAGUUACAGAAGCCAUGUGUAGGUGUUCUGGCUCCAGCAAAAGUCUUAUCUGACAACAUCAACUACAUGUUAGUGGCCUUUCCUUGAAAUUGCUGGAGCUUGUGCAUCAUCAAAAUAAUGGCAUAAACCAAGGAAGAAGAAAACAAAAUUGAGGAAAUGGGAUCCAACACAAAAGAGAGACAACAGGAUUAAUUGAGUGUUGGUGAAAAGCCACAGCCUGUAAAUAAUGCAGUUCGAACUGAAAUAGACCAGGAGGCUCAAGGAGAGACUUCUUCAAGAAGAUAAAAUUGAUAGAAUGCCUAAGGAGUUUGAGUGCAUUGAGAAUAGAUUCAUAUCAGUUCUGGAGAACUGGGUGGAUACAUUAAUGUUAAGUACAUAGAAAAGUUAAAAAUGAAAAAAAUUCUCAAUUCUAGGGAAAAUAAUCAUAGUAAACUACAUGUUUUAGUUACCAAUAGUGUUUACGUAGUCAAUAUAAACAAUGGGCAUUGAUAUAAAUAAUGUAUGUUGAUCUGCUAUAACAAGACUAACCAGAAUUGGCUACAGUUUCUUCAAGAAAAUACCCCAAUGGAAGAAAAAAAGGUGGAGGGAGAAACUGAAUGAAGAAAGGAUGAUUUGAAAUUACCAGAAAGUGGAACGUGGAAAAAACAGAGUAAAACUAGUUUGAGAAUAAAAUCUUAGGUUGUAACAUCUUCUGGGAAUUUAUUCUUUAAAUAUUGCUUUUAACUGGAUUCUUUGGUAAAUAGUAAAUGCAUUUUGGUUUUGAUUUAAGCAGCUCAUUCUUUUGUUUCUUCACUUCUCCAAUAAACUUGCUCUCACUUAAAAAAUGCCUUGUAGAACAACUCAUGAUAAUUAUUACUGUUGGGAAAUAGGAGAAACAUAUUGUAUUAGUCAGAAUUUUACAGAGAAACAGAACCAAUAGGAGAUAUCUAUCUAUCUAUCUAUCUAUCUAUCUAUCUAUCUAUCUAUCUACCUAUCUAUCAUCUAUCUAAAUAUAUGACUAUAGAUAUAGAUGAGGGGAUUUAUUAUAGGAAGUGGCUCAUAUGGUUACGGAGGCUAAGAAGUGCCAUGGCCUGCUAUCUGCAAACUGGAGAACCAUAAAUUCUGGUGGUGUGAUUCAGUGCAAGUCAAAAAAGGCCUGAGAAUCAGAGGGCUGUUGGGUAUAAAUCCAAAAGCCCAAAAACCACUUGUGUCAAUGUCCAAAGGUAGGAGAAAAUGAAUAUCUCAGCUCAAGCAGAGAAAGUAAACUUGCCCUUCCUCUGCCUUUUUGUUCUAUUCAGGCCCUCAAUGGAUUGAAUGAUGCCCACAGAUAUUUGUGAGAGCAGAUCUUCCUUACUCAGUCUACUGAUUUAAAUGCUAAUCUCUUCUAGAAACAGUCUCAUACUUGUACCCAGAAAUAAUAUUUAGCAGCUCUCUAGAUAUCCCUUAGCCUAGUCAAGUUGACACACAAAAGUAACCAUCACAGAUAUUUUAUUUGGCAAUUGUAUUAAAAUUAAACAAUUUUAUAUCCUCCCAAAAAGGAGAGGAAUAACUUUAGUGACUUUCUGUGUUUCAGAGUAUUGAGAAUCUAUACUUAAGGAAAUGGCUCUUAUUUAUAGGAAAUAGUUUGCUAUAUUUGAUCUUAAAACACCUAGCUUUGCAAACUGUUAAACCCAAACACUGUUGUCUCAAUCCGAAAAUGUGGAACAGUAACUCACAUUGGUAAAUUUUGGUUACACAUGUCAUUAAGGUAGUUACUUACCUUUAUGUGUCUGUUCAUUUAUCCUACUGAUGUUUAUUACAUACCUAUUAUUUGUUAGACUCUAUACUAGUGCCUGGGUUUCAGUACUUAAGAAAAUAGACAAAAUCUCUACUCUUGAGAUGUUUAUAGUCUAGUUUUAGAAUGGGCACUUUUUGGGGUUGUUAAUCAACUUUCUUUUUUAAUCAAUUUGAUGUCCAUUCAGAUUGUAUAAAUUGAGACCCUGUAGGGAACUGUUUGAGUAUGGGGUUGGGGGGAUUGAUGGAGGACAACAAAAUGUUCACUAUAUAGACAUCAAAAAUUAUUUAAAAUAUUCAUAAUUUUGUUCAUUGAUGUGGAACAGUGUUCAUAUUUUGAUUCUGGUUAAAAAUGAAAUUAAUAUGGCAAAUUGAGAAGACUGGGAAAUUUGUGAAUAUAUAUGCAUAUUUAUAGAUGCAAAAAUAAAUAUAUAUUUGCCACACACAUACAUAUACACAUGCACAAAUACUGUGUAAAUAUUCUUAAUUAGCUAUUUUGCCAGAUCUGGCCCCAGUGCUUAUUUAACUAUCCCCAGGAAUUUUAGCAUAUAGAAGAUAUUUUAAACUACACAAAAUAAACAGAAGCAUAGUUUAUCACUUUUAUAAGUUAAUUGCAAUAUUGAUAUGUAAUUAACUCUAAUGAAUUCAACAGUCAUAAAUCAUUCAAUUGAUUUUUAAAACCAAUCAUUGUCCCACUUAACUAAUUGCUGAUGGUCAUUUGCAUUUCAUAAAUGUUACUACUGUCUGUGAAUGUACCCAUGUUGUGCUAAUGCUAGUUUUAUCUGUGAACUGAGAUUGGAAGUUAUAGCACUGGUUUUGGUCCUUGGGCCUGAAUUAUUUUUGAAAAUACUAAGAUUGGUUACCUAGACAAGUUUUCUCUUCUGAAAACUGCAUUUUCUUACUAACUUAGUAGACAAAUCCAAAUUUUGCUAUCAAUUAGCAGAAGUUUUUAAGCGCAGUUCUCAAAGUAGUUCUCUUUUUCAGCAAGUCUGCAAGGUCAAAAAUGUUGCAUAUUAAUACUCAGAAUAAUUUUUCACUUUUCACCUCCAGAGACUACAUAAAGUGAUGACAUUAUGGCUCUUAUGUUAAUAUGUUGAGUUUAUUAUGAUUUUUAAAUAAAUGAAUGAAUACAUAUGUAGAUAUUUUCUCAGUUUUAAUGUCUAAUGUGAUAAUGAGUGAUAGGAUGCACAUAAGCAAAAUCUCCUUGGGAUCUUCCAUAAUUUUGAAGAUGAUAAAGGGAUCCUGAGAUCAGGAAACUUGAGUAUUAGUGGCUUAGGGUAAUGUAAACAGUUAUUUCAGGAAGUUAGUGUUCACAGUAUAAAAUUCCAAAUGCACUCAUUUGGAUAUUUAUGCAUUUUUUCUGUGUCUUAUAUAGUUGCCACAGUGUGUCAUAUAAGCUAAGUAAUAAAAUGUUGUCUAAAGUGUUUUUAAAAAGUUUGCAGAAUGAUGGUUACCAGAGGCUGGGAAGAGU
This 4087-nucleotide long non-coding RNA is filed under the name Homo sapiens (human). Its description in RNAcentral is "HSALNT0376554". Lineage: Eukaryota; Metazoa; Chordata; Mammalia; Primates; Hominidae. The record is from RNAcentral.